GGGUGUAUAGCUCAGUUGGUAGAGCAGCUGACUCUUAAUCAGCGGGUCGAAGGUUCGAGUCCUUCUACACCCACCA
This 76-nucleotide transfer RNA is filed under the name Hyphomicrobiales bacterium. RNAcentral describes it as "tRNA-Lys". It matches the Rfam family "tRNA". From Rfam's summary of the family: Transfer RNA (tRNA) molecules are approximately 80 nucleotides in length. RNAcentral also lists the same sequence under 5 other names. The record is from RNAcentral. Lineage: Bacteria; Pseudomonadati; Pseudomonadota; Alphaproteobacteria; Hyphomicrobiales.